AGAGUUUGAUUUAUGGCUCAGGACGAACGCUGGCCGGCGUGCCUAAUACAUGCAAGUCGAGCGGACUUGACGGAAGCUUGCUUCCGUUCAAGUUAGCGGCGGACGGGUGAGUAACACGUGGGUAACCUGCCUGUAAGACUGGGAUAACUCCGGGAAACCGGGGCUAAUACCGGAUAUUCUUUUUCUUCGCAUGAAGAAGAAUGGAAAGGCGGCUUUUAGCUGUCGCUUACAGAUGGACCCGCGGCGCAUUAGCUAGUUGGUGAGGUAACGGCUCACCAAGGCAACGAUGCGUAGCCGACCUGAGAGGGUGAUCGGCCACACUGGGACUGAGACACGGCCCAGACUCCUACGGGAGGCAGCAGUAGGGAAUCUUCCGCAAUGGACGAAAGUCUGACGGAGCAACGCCGCGUGAGUGAAGAAGGUUUUCGGAUCGUAAAGCUCUGUUGUCAGGGAAGAACAAGUACGGAAGUAACUGUCCGUACAAAAAACGGUACCUGACCAGAAAGCCACGGCUAACUACGUGCCAGCAGCCGCGGUAAUACGUAGGUGGCAAGCGUUGUCCGGAAUUAUUGGGCGUAAAGCGCGCGCAGGCGGCUUCUUAAGUCUGAUGUGAAAGCCCACGGCUCAACCGUGGAGGGUCAUUGGAAACUGGGAGGCUUGAGUGCAGAAGAGGAGAGCGGAAUUCCACGUGUAGCGGUGAAAUGCGUAGAGAUGUGGAAAACACCAGUGGCGAAGGCGGCUCUCUGGUCUGUAACUGACGCUGAGGCGCGAAAGCGUGGGGAGCGAACAGGAUU
RNAcentral lists this ribosomal RNA (794 nucleotides) under Pseudobacillus badius. Its description in RNAcentral is "bacterial SSU rRNA". It matches the Rfam family "Bacterial small subunit ribosomal RNA", at positions 8 to 779 of the family's 1533-position model. Lineage: Bacteria; Bacillati; Bacillota; Bacilli; Caryophanales; Bacillaceae. The record is from RNAcentral.